UCAAUAAGCGGAGGAAAAGAAACCAACAGGGAUUGCCCUAGUAACGGCGAGUGAAGCGGCAACAGCUCAAAUUUGAAAUCUGGCGCAAGCCCGAGUUGUAAUUUGUAGAGGAUGCUUCUGGGUAGCGGCCGGUCUAAGUUCCUUGGAACAGGACGUCACAGAGGGUGAGAAUCCCGUAUGUGAUCGGCCCGCGCCCUCUACGUAGCUCCUUCGACGAGUCGAGUUGUUUGGGAAUGCAGCUCUAAAUGGGAGGUAAAUUUCUUCUAAAGCUAAAUACCGGCCAGAGACCGAUAGCGCACAAGUAGAGUGAUCGAAAGAUGAAAAGCACUUUGGAAAGAGAGUUAAACAGCACGUGAAAUUGUUGAAAGGGAAGCGCUUGCAACCAGACUUGACGGCGGUGUUCCCCCGGGCUUCUGCCCGGGUUACUCACCGUCUUCAGGCCAUCAUCGUCUGGGGCCGCCGGAGAAACCGUCAGGAAUGUGGCUCCCUCGGGAGUGUUAUAGCCUGUCGACAUGCGGCGUGCCCCGGGCGAGGUCCGCGCUUAGGCAAGGAUGAUGGCGUAAUGGUUGUCAGCGGCCCGUCUUGAAACACGGACCAAGGAGUCUAACAUCUAUGCGAGUGUUCGGGUGUCAAACCCCUACGCGUAAUGAAAGUGAACGGAGGUGGGAGCUUCGGCGCACCAUCGACCGAUCCUGAUGUCCUCGGAUGGAUUUGAGUAA
RNAcentral lists this ribosomal RNA (719 nucleotides) under Dissoconium sp. LF1.1. Its description in RNAcentral is "eukaryotic LSU rRNA". It matches the Rfam family "Eukaryotic large subunit ribosomal RNA", at positions 43 to 797 of the family's 3401-position model. Lineage: Eukaryota; Fungi; Ascomycota; Dothideomycetes; Mycosphaerellales; Dissoconiaceae. The record is from RNAcentral.